UCCCCCAGGUGCCGGAGCCGGUGUGGCGGCGGCUGGAGUCCGUCGACGGCCGGGAGUUCGCGGCCGCCGUGGGCGGG
This 77-nucleotide transfer RNA is filed under the name Streptomyces chryseus. Its description in RNAcentral is "tRNA-Ser". Lineage: Bacteria; Bacillati; Actinomycetota; Actinomycetes; Kitasatosporales; Streptomycetaceae. The record is from RNAcentral.